RNAcentral lists this ribosomal RNA (273 nucleotides) under uncultured bacterium. RNAcentral describes it as "partial 16S ribosomal RNA". It matches the Rfam family "Bacterial small subunit ribosomal RNA", at positions 331 to 602 of the family's 1533-position model. The record is from RNAcentral.
CUUGGCCUACGGGAGGCAGCAGUGAGGAAUAUUGGUCAAUGGGCGGAAGCCUGAACCAGCCAAGUCGCGUGAGGGAAUAAGGCCCUACGGGUCGUAAACCUCUUUUGCCGGGGAGCAAGGGCGGGGACGUGUCCCGGCCCGGAGAGUACCCGGAGAAAAAGCAUCGGCUAACUCCGUGCCAGCAGCCGCGGUAAUACGGAGGAUGCGAGCGUUAUCCGGAUUUAUUGGGGUUAAAGGGGGCGUAGGCGGGCUUUAAGGCAGCGGUAAAAAUGC